AUGGGAAGAACAUGUGUGUUUGUUCAUCAUGGGGACAAAGACGCCUUUUUGAAAGGCAAUAAAGAACCGGACCCAGAUGAGCUUGACAUUGUGUUUGAUAGUAGUCCUAGCUAUGCGGAGCUCUUGCAACAAGUUAGGAAAGAUUUGAAUUGGAUGGACCCUAGUGAUAUCAUUGAGUUGGAGGGAAGGCAUAAUGUUGGUUUUGGAAUGCACAUCCGUUGGAAGACAAUGCGUGUAAACUCAGAGCAACGUUGGGUUGCAUACAAGGAGACGGUGGCCGAAUCACUAGACAAGGCUCUUGAGUUAUUUGCAACGAAGAAGGUUGAGUCAAGUUUGCAUUUGGACUUGAACCGGAACCCCUCCCCUUUGGUUGCUAGUAGCCCCCCACCCUUGAAGCAAGAUGAAAUUGUUGAACCUCUUUUGACCCAAGAAGUGAGGCCAACAUUGAGCCCGUGUAGAAACAACCAAGAUGAAUAUUUGCAAGAGGACAACGAUGAGUAUGCGGACGAUGACAAUGAAGUUGAUCUCCAUGACAACAAUGUGGGUGAUCUCGACAAAUAUCAUUUGCAAGAGACAAUGGACCAUUCCAUCCCUUUUUCCCGUGCAUAUGCAUCGGACUCGGAUGACGAUGGUCCCGAUGAACAAGUUGAUGCGGAGGGGUUCACGGUGAAGGAGGCCGAAGCUUUCGAGAAGGUAUUUGGUCGGGAUCAUCGGACUACAUUGUUCAAGGAUGUUAGUCUCGCGGAUGAAGCCGUGGUAGAUGGUGGCCAAUGUGUAGCUCUUGGGGUUAGGCCAAGCUCUCACCGUGAUUUGGUAGACGACAAGAACCGGAUUGCUAAAGGUUCUAAGUUCGACAGCUUGUUGGAUUUGAAGAUGUGGCUUGACAACUACUCGGUUAUGCAUUAUCGUCCACACAAGGUGGUGCACUCGGACGUCAAUGUGCGCUACACAGUUGCAUGUGCAUGUGAAGAUGAAAAGGAGGUCCAACUUGGACUUACAAGAGGCCGUGGUGGUGGUAGAGGUCGUGGAAAGGAGGUCCAACAAGGAGUGGCAAGACGCCGUGGCGGUUGUCCGUGGAUUGUGCGUGCAAGACCAUGGAAAGGAGGUCCUACUUGGCAUGUAGUGAGUUGUGUGCCAACUCACAUGUGCCAAGGCAAAAGGGUGGAUGGCAAGAUUGUGUCCCAAGACCACAAACAACUCACGUCCGAGUUCAUCGCUUACAGGCUCUCGAACUCAAUAUCCACACUUCCAACAAUGAGCGUCCAACAUGUCAUUGACCUUGUGAAAGCCAUCUUUCAUUACCAGGUGAAAUACGGCAAGGCAUGGAAGGCGAAGCAAGCCGCAUUUAAGAUGUUGUAUGGUACAUGGGAGGAAGCAUACAACCGAAUCCCUAGGUUGUUGUUAGCCAUGGCCGCGACAAACCCGGGCAUGGUUCAUGUGGUCGAGCCUCAUGGGCACCAAACAACGGUUCAUGAAGGAAGGAAAGUCAGAGUAUUUGGCCAUGCUUUUUGGGCGUUCGAGCAAUGUGUGAGGGCUUUCGAACAUUGUAGGCCGGUCAUCGCAAUUGAUGGCACGUUCUUGACCGGACAAUACAAGGGCACCUUGUUGGUUGCGAUAGCAAGUGAUGCCAAUAACCGGGUGUUGCCAUUGGCAUUUGCUUUGGUUGAGGUGGAAAAAAAUGACAACUGGGAGUGGUUUCUGCAUCUUUUGAGGACGAAGGUGUUACCCGCUCAAAGGGAAAUUUGUGUCAUAUCGGAUCGGAAUCAAGGAAUUCUUAACGCCGUGGAGAUUGACAUUCCCGGGCAUGCUCCGUUGCACCAUUGA
Molecule: ribosomal RNA, 1824 nt
Filed under: Triticum aestivum (bread wheat)
Lineage: Eukaryota; Viridiplantae; Streptophyta; Magnoliopsida; Poales; Poaceae
Description: partial small subunit ribosomal RNA
Source: RNAcentral